CUGGGGAGAAGACAACAGGGAUUGCCCCAGUAACGGCGAGUGAAGCGGCAACAGCUCAAAUUUGAAAUCUGGCCCCUCCGGGUCCGAGUUGUAAUUUGUAGAGGAUGCUUUUGGUGAGGUGCCGCCCGAGUUCCCUGGAACGGGACGCCACAGAGGGUGAGAGCCCCGUCUGGCUGGCCACCGAGCCUCUGUAAAGCUCCUUCGACGAGUCGAGUAGUUUGGGAAUGCUGCUCAAAAUGGGAGGUAUAUGUCUUCUAAAGCUAAAUAUUGGCCAGAGACCGAUAGCGCACAAGUAGAGUGAUCGAAAGAUGAAAAGCACCUUGAAAAGAGGGUUAAACAGUACGUGAAAUUGUUGAAAGGGAAGCGCUUGUGACCAGACUUGGGCGCGGCGGAUCAUCCGGGGUUCUCUCCGGUGCACUUCGCCGCGUUCAGGCCAGCAUCAGUUCGUCGCGGGGGAAAAAGGCUUCGGGAACGUGGCUCCUCCGGGAGUGUUAUAGCCCGUUGCAUAAUACCCUGCGGUGGACUGAGGACCGCGCAUCUGCAAGGAUGCUGGCGUAAUGGUCACCAGCGACCCGUCUUGAAACACCGGACCCAAUGAGACGAGCUAAAAG
Molecule: ribosomal RNA, 611 nt
Filed under: Trichoderma asperellum
Lineage: Eukaryota; Fungi; Ascomycota; Sordariomycetes; Hypocreales; Hypocreaceae
Description: LSU rRNA
Rfam family: Eukaryotic large subunit ribosomal RNA
Source: RNAcentral